UGUGUGUGUGUGUGUGUGUGUGUGUGUGUGUGUGUGUGUGUGUGUGUGUGUAUGGGUGUGAAUGUGUAUUAUAUUGCAUACGAGUGUAUGAGAGAUUGUUUUGGCCAUGUGUGUGUUUGGGUGCAUUUGCAUAUAGAAAUAAUAAUAAUAAUAAUAAUAAUAAUAAUAACUCCUUAUAUUUAUAUAGUACUUUUCUAGACACUCAAAGUGAUUUACAUUGUAUGGUGUGUGUGUGUGUGUGUGUGUGUGUGUGUGUGUGUGUGUGUGUGUGUGUGUGGAGGAGUAGCAUCCACCUGGAUGAUGUGACGGAAGUGUAGUGCGCCAGAACGCCCACCACACACCAGCUAUUAGUGGAGAGGAGAGAGUGAUGUAGCCAGUUCAGGGAUGGAGAUUAUUAAGGGGCCAUGAUAGCUAAGGGCCAAUGGGGGAAUUUCACCAGGACACCAGGGUUAUACCCCUACUCCUUUAUGAGCUGUGUGGUGGGAUUUUUACUAACCACAGAGAGUCAGGACCUCUGUUUAACGUCUCACCCAAAAGACCGUACAACGAAAGAUGUGUAUUUGUGUGUUUGUUUUGUUUGUGUAUGUGAGUGGGCAUGUGUGUAUGUCUAUGCACGCAUGUGUAUGUUAGUUUUAUGUGUGAGUGAGUGUGUGUUUAUAUGUGUCUGUUUGUGUGUGUGUGUGUGUGUGUGUUUGGUUGCACACGUGUAUGUGCAUUUGUGUGGGUGUGCAUUGUAUCUCUGCAUGUGAGUGUAUGAGAGGUUUUUUUGUUCAAGUGCAUUUUUGUGUAUAUGUUCUGUGUGUGUGUGUGUGUUUGGGUGCAUAUAUGUGUGUAUGUAUGCAUGUGCAUUUGUGUUGUGUGUGUUUGUGUAUAUGAGUGUGCAUGUGUGUGUGAGCGAGUGUGUGUGUGUAUAUUUGUGUGUGUGUAUGUGUAUAUAUGUGUGUAGAUUUUCUGUGUGUGUUUACGUGUGUAUAUUUGUGUGUGUAUAUAUGUGUGUGUAUCUUUUCUCUGUGUGUGUAGAUUUUGUGUGUGUAUAUGUGUGUAGACUUUCUGUGUGUAUGUGUGUAGAUUUUUUGUGUGUGUGUAAGUGUGUUUGUGUGAGUGUGUGUUUAUGUGUGUGAGUGUGUAUUUAUAUGUGUGUGUUUGUAAGUGUGUGUUUAUAUCUGUGUGUGUGUGUGUGUGUGUGUAAGUGGGUUUUUAUAUGUGUGUGCGCUUGUGUGUCCGUGCGUGUGAGUGUGUGUGUGUGAGAGUAAGGGUGUGUUAUGUGUGUGUGUUUGUAAUUGUGUGUUAAUAUGUGUGUGUUUGUGUGUGUUUAUGUGUGUGUAUGUGUGUGUGAGUGUAAUUGUGUGUUCAUAUAUGUGUGUGUAAGUGUGUGUGCGUGCGUGUGUGUAUGCGUGUGCGUGUGUGUAUGCAUGUGCGUGUGCGUGUGUGCGCGCGUGUGUGUGUGCAUAUGUGUGCGUGUGUGUGUGUGUGUGUGUGUGUGUGUGUGUGUGUGCACGUGUGUGCGUGUGUGUGUGUGUGUGUGUGUGUGUGUGCGUAUGUGUGUGUCUUCUGAGGGCGUGGGUACGCUGUACGCGGGUGGUUAAGCUGUUAGCCUCAGAUGAAUGCAGGGGGAGCUCAGUCUCCUCUUUGAAGUGUGACAGGAGGAGGGGGAUGUUACCACGCCCACCAGGAGGGGCCUGCAGAGAGGGAGAAACUUUCGCCCUGUUUUUGUGAGGAACACUAGAGGUCCAGCUUGAGUCUCAGAUGCUCCGUUUUAAUUCUUACACUAAUUAUUCACCGGUCCUACAGCAAUGCCAGGGCUUCCUGCUUCCUGCUCCGCUUUACACUGUGAUGCAGUGCGCAGGCUGGAAAGAGUAACAGCAACACACACACACACACACACACACACACACACACACACACACACACACUUAUGUACUCACGAUGCCACUACACACCAUUGCUUAGGAGUUUUUUAAAGUAUGAAUGAAAUCAUGUCUGUACAGUUUCUGUUGUUUAUGCUUACAUUUGUGUCAGUGAGGGCUGAAUGGGGGAACUCCCUUUUCACGCAGACCUCCCAGUGUGUGUUUCUCUCCCUGUCCACACACACACACACACUCUCCGAGGCAUGCUAGGUCGUGUCCGGGACCCACCUCAAAGGGAAACGGAGGCCCAGGUGUGCAGCAGGGGUUGGGGCUGGGACGGGUACAGACAGGCCUCGUCCCAAUCCACUGACAAGCGAAGACACUGCCUUGUUCUUCCUCGACAGACUGAGCGGAAGGCUCGGUUAAAAGAUAUCUGUUUUCAUAUCUUAUCCUUAACCCUGCCCCUGGAGCCGGUGAAUCCUUUUGGUCAAGACCAAGAUUUGCUCAGCUGUUUCAUUGGGCCAGUGUUUGAAUCAGAGGCUGUUGUGCUUGAAAAUCCCAGGAGAUCAGCUGCUUCAGAAAUACUCAAACCGGCCCAUCUGCACCUGCAAGAUCACAUUUUACCCAACUGUGAUGUCAGAUGUGAACAUUUACUGAAGAUCUUGACCUGUAUCUU
This is a long non-coding RNA of Ictalurus punctatus (channel catfish), 2523 nucleotides long. RefSeq lists it as uncharacterized. The transcript is spliced from 3 exons. NCBI's taxonomy places the organism in Eukaryota, Metazoa, Chordata, Actinopteri, Siluriformes, Ictaluridae. The record is from RefSeq and is a predicted model, not a curated record.